RNAcentral lists this ribosomal RNA (109 nucleotides) under Urocitellus parryii (Arctic ground squirrel). Lineage: Eukaryota; Metazoa; Chordata; Mammalia; Rodentia; Sciuridae. The record is from RNAcentral.
GUCUACGGCCAUACCACCCUGAACGCGCCCGAUCUCGUCUGAUCUCGGAAGUUAAGCAGGGUCGGGCCUGGUUAGUACUUGGAUGGGAGAAAAGAGGACAUUUGAGGUG